AUUUCACACAAACCCAUAUUUAUUAAAAAUAGUUGUUCCUUCCUGUUAUUCCUUCGCUUCUAUUUUUUUUCCUUUGAUUUCCUUCUUCCUUUGUUUUCUCUUUUAUUCCUUCUCUUUUCUCUUUGAACCGACGUACCUGCUUGAAACUGGCGUCGCAACCACAAACCAACAGGUUUUGAGUUUGAAGAAAUAAGAAGAAGGUGUUUGAUUGAAUUCUGCAAUGAAAAAUUCAUCUCAUGUAACAGAUAAGAUGCGUACGCGUGAGCUUAAGCUAAACGAAACAGAUAAAAAUUUGUCACUACGUAAUCGUAAUCCACAUAUAAUUGAAUGGGAAGAAGAGUGUGAUGGGUAUGUAUAUAUGUUCUUUCUUAAUUAAUUCUAUAUUACUAAUGAUUAACUGUUAUUUCUGCAAAUGGAGUCCUUGAACAUUGAAUUUAGAGAAGUUGGAGAAAAGGUGUACAAUAGGUAGCGACACUAGGUGUUGCGGGUUCUCCUUCUAAGCAUCCUCUUUUUAAGAUGCCUCGGGAUCUUGGUCCAUACACUGACUUAGUAGAGAGUUACAAGAAUGACAAAGUGGUGAGUUGUUAAUUGUUAGGCUUAUGGGAAACAAUGAAAUAUGCGUAAGCACUUAACUAAUGGAAUUUUUUUUACGCUAACUGAUAUGGAUUAUAUUUUGCUCUAAGUUGUUACUUUUUGAGAUUUCAUAAUUGUAGAUAAUGCUGACGCGAAAAACUCAACGCCAAGUCGAAUUCCGCAAAUGAGUGCGGCUCUAUAUCAAGUUUUCUUUGAUUUUCAUUUUUCAUUUGAUUUUUCUUGAGCUUUGCCUAGGAAUGACAUUCAAUUUUUAUUUCGUAAGUAUUUUCUUGUUUGUAGUGGUUGCAUAAUCUAUUAUGCAUCUACAAAAGUUGUUGGAUAAGUUGAUAUGUAGUUAUGAAAAUGGAUGCAUAACAUGUUAUGGAUCUACAAAAGCUAAUGUAUAA
Papaver somniferum (opium poppy) is the source of this 980-nucleotide long non-coding RNA. RefSeq lists it as uncharacterized. The record is from RefSeq and is a predicted model, not a curated record. NCBI's taxonomy places the organism in Eukaryota, Viridiplantae, Streptophyta, Magnoliopsida, Ranunculales, Papaveraceae. The transcript has 2 exons.